AAGUCGUAACAAGGUUUCCGUAGGUGAACCUGCGGUUGGAUCAUUAUUGAUUAAACCUUUAACCUGCAAGUUGAGACCUUAACGGGACUCCUUUCAGGUUAAAAUUUACACUAUGUGCACUAUAACUGUUUUUCGAGUAGAGGGAUUCGAAUAGUAAUGGUCUAUAGGAAUUUAGGUUCUUUAAGACUGUGAAAGUAGACGUACUUUUAGGUUACUCUGGUAACCUUAAGGUUAGGGGAUUCGUUCUCUUCCUAGACUCGGCUUUAUAAAUCAACCACUUUAACAUUUGCCUUAGAAAUUUUUGUAAAAAGAAAUUAAAACAACUUUUGACAACGGAUCUCUAGGCUCUC
This 350-nucleotide unclassified non-coding RNA is filed under the name fungal sp. Its description in RNAcentral is "partial internal transcribed spacer region". The stretch from base 1 to 46 matches the Rfam family "Eukaryotic small subunit ribosomal RNA", at positions 1786 to 1831 of the family's 1831-position model. The record is from RNAcentral. Lineage: Eukaryota; Fungi.